This 274-nucleotide ribosomal RNA is filed under the name uncultured bacterium. RNAcentral describes it as "partial 16S ribosomal RNA". It matches the Rfam family "Bacterial small subunit ribosomal RNA", at positions 523 to 796 of the family's 1533-position model. The record is from RNAcentral.
AUACAGAGGGUGCGAGCGUUAAUCGGAAUUACUGGGCGUAAAGCGCGCGUAGGCGGCUUAUUAAGUCAGAUGUGAAAUCCCCGGGCUCAACCUGGGAACUGCAUCUGAUACUGGUAAGCUAGAGUUUGGGAGAGGGAAGUAGAAUUUCAGGUGUAGCGGUGAAAUGCAUAGAGAUCUGAAGGAAUACCAGUGGCGAAGGCGACUUCCUGGCCUAAAACUGACGCUGAGGUGCGAAAGCGUGGGUAGCAAACGGAAUUAGAAACCCUAGUAGUCC